AAAACGACUCUCGGCAACGGAUAUCUCGGAUCUCGCAUGGAUGAAGAACGUAGCGAAAUGCGAUACUUGGUGUGAAUUGCAGAAUCCCGUGAACCAUCGAGUUUUUGAACGCAAGUUGCGCCCAAAACCUUCGGGUCGAGGGCACAUCUGCCUGGGUGUCACGC
This 164-nucleotide ribosomal RNA is filed under the name Synostemon lissocarpus. RNAcentral's name for it is "5.8S ribosomal RNA". It matches the Rfam family "5.8S ribosomal RNA". From Rfam's summary of the family: 5.8S ribosomal RNA (5.8S rRNA) is a component of the large subunit of the eukaryotic ribosome. It is transcribed by RNA polymerase I as part of the 45S precursor that also contains 18S and 28S rRNA. Lineage: Eukaryota; Viridiplantae; Streptophyta; Magnoliopsida; Malpighiales; Phyllanthaceae. The record is from RNAcentral.